RNAcentral lists this ribosomal RNA (253 nucleotides) under uncultured bacterium. RNAcentral's name for it is "partial 16S ribosomal RNA". It matches the Rfam family "Bacterial small subunit ribosomal RNA", at positions 524 to 776 of the family's 1533-position model. The record is from RNAcentral.
UACGUAGGGGGCAAGCGUUGUCCGGAAUCAUUGGGCGUAAAGAGCGCGUAGGCGGUCCAGUAAGUCCGCUCUGAAAGUCCGGGGCUCAACCCCGGGAGGCGGGCGGAUACUGCUGGGCUAGAGUCCGGAAGAGGCGAGUGGAAUUCCUGGUGUAGCAGUGAAAUGCGUAGAUAUCAGGAGGAAUACCGAUGGCGAAGGCAGGUCUGUGGGCUGACACUGACGCUCAUGCACGAAAGCGUGGGGAGCAAACAGG